Molecule: long non-coding RNA, 415 nt
Organism: Plodia interpunctella (Indianmeal moth)
Lineage: Eukaryota; Metazoa; Arthropoda; Insecta; Lepidoptera; Pyralidae
Exons: 2
Source: RefSeq, a predicted model, not a curated record
ACAGAUUUAAGUGUUUUUCAUAACGAAGCAUAACCGCGAUAUGGCCUUUUCAAGAAUUACGUCGAUUUUUUUAGAAUCACCUUGAUGUUCAUAUGUGCUCGUGGAAAAUAGGACAAUCUGGGUGAUAAUCAAUUUAAGAAAGUUUCGUAGAUCAAGGGAUACAAGAGAAUAGACCAACUCACACUGUCGCCGAAUACAUGCCGACGCGAAUUUCGUACGCAUGAACAUUGCGUAAUUUGUAUGAGAUUUUUUAUUUACCGCAAAGAAAAACGAGCACUGUAUACAGAAUUCACCAAAGUUUGACAAACUGACGACACUGUGGAUACGGCAUAAAACCACGAGCGCCAUCUAUUCAUUUUUUCUCGGAUCAAUAAUAUUUUCCGAAUAAAAGUGUCGUCUUUAUUCAUGAAUUACA